GGGACACGUGGUAUCCUGUCUGAAUAUGGGGGGACCAUCCUCCAAGGCUAAAUACUCCUGACUGACCGAUAGUGAACCAGUACCGUGAGGGAAAGGCGAAAAGAACCCCGGCGAGGGGAGUGAAAAAGAACCUGAAACCGUGUACGUACAAGCAGUGGGAGCACGCUUAGGCGUGUGACUGCGUACCUUUUGUAUAAUGGGUCAGCGACUUAUAUUCUGUAGCAAGGUUAACCGAAUAGGGGAGCCGAAGGGAAACCGAGUCUUAACUGGGCGUUAAGUUGCAGGGUAUAGACCCGAAACCCGGUGAUCUAGCCAUGGGCAGGUUGAAGGUUGGGUAACACUAACUGGAGGACCGAACCGACUAAUGUUGAAAAAUUAGCGGAUGACUUGUGGCUGGGGGUGAAAGGCCAAUCAAACCGGGAGAUAGCUGGUUCUCCCCGAAAGCUAUUUAGGUAGCGCCUCGUGAAUUCAUCUCCGGGGGUAGAGCACUGUUUCGGCAAGGGGGUCAUCCCGACUUACCAAC
This 523-nucleotide ribosomal RNA is filed under the name Escherichia coli. RNAcentral's name for it is "partial 23S ribosomal RNA". It matches the Rfam family "Bacterial large subunit ribosomal RNA", at positions 419 to 943 of the family's 2925-position model. Lineage: Bacteria; Pseudomonadati; Pseudomonadota; Gammaproteobacteria; Enterobacterales; Enterobacteriaceae. The record is from RNAcentral.